GACAGAGGGUGCAAGCGUUGUUCGGAAUCAUUGGGCGUAAAGCGCGCGUAGGCGGUUUGGUGUGUCGGAUGUGAAAGCCCGCGGCUCAACCGUGGAAGUGCAUCCGAAACUGCCAAACUUGAGUCCCGGAGAGGGUGGUGGAAUUCCUGGUGUAGAGGUGAAAUUCGUAGAUAUCAGGAGGAACACCCGUGGCGAAGGCGACCACCUGGACGGUGACUGACGCUGAGGUGCGAAAGCGUGGGGAGCAAACAGG
RNAcentral lists this unclassified non-coding RNA (253 nucleotides) under uncultured Myxococcales bacterium. RNAcentral's name for it is "contains 16S-23S intergenic spacer region". It matches the Rfam family "Bacterial small subunit ribosomal RNA", at positions 524 to 776 of the family's 1533-position model. Lineage: Bacteria; Pseudomonadati; Myxococcota; Myxococcia; Myxococcales. The record is from RNAcentral.